ACAAAAUUUCAGUUAAUAAUAUAAGCUAUUAAAUUUGGGAUUUAACAAUCAACAAAAAUUGAAUUUUGA
This 69-nucleotide transfer RNA is filed under the name Baltalimania ylvae. Its description in RNAcentral is "tRNA-Pro". The record is from RNAcentral. Lineage: Eukaryota; Metazoa; Xenacoelomorpha; Acoela; Isodiametridae.